This 495-nucleotide ribosomal RNA is filed under the name uncultured bacterium. Its description in RNAcentral is "partial 16S ribosomal RNA". It matches the Rfam family "Bacterial small subunit ribosomal RNA", at positions 28 to 507 of the family's 1533-position model. The record is from RNAcentral.
GACGAACGCUGGCGGCGUGCCUAAUACAUGCAAGUCGAACGCAGAGGGCGGAGCUUUCUUCUCUGGAUGAGUUGCGAACGGGUGAGUAACACGUAGGUAACCUGCCUGUUAGCGGGGGAUAACUAUUGGAAACGAUAGCUAAUACCGCAUAAUAGUUGAUGUUGCAUGACAUUUGCUUGAAAGGUGCAAUUGCAUCCCUACCAGAUGCACCUGCGUUGUAUUAGCUAGUUGGUGAGGUAACGGCUCACUAAGGCGACGAUACAGAGUCGACCUGUGAGGGGGGGCAGCCAGACUGGGACGGAGACACGGCCCAGACGCCUACGGGAGGGAGCAGGAGGGAAUCGUGGGGAAUGGAUGGAAAGCUGAGCGAGAAACGCCGCGGGAGGGAAGAAGGUUGUCGGAUCGGAAAGCUCUGUUGUAAGAGAAGAAAGAGGGUGAGAGUGGAAAGUGCACAGUGUGACGGUAGCUUACCAGAAAGGGACGGCUAACUACGUG